This 2925-nucleotide ribosomal RNA is filed under the name Cronobacter sakazakii. Its description in RNAcentral is "bacterial LSU rRNA". It matches the Rfam family "Bacterial large subunit ribosomal RNA". The record is from RNAcentral. Lineage: Bacteria; Pseudomonadati; Pseudomonadota; Gammaproteobacteria; Enterobacterales; Enterobacteriaceae.
GGGUUGUGAGGUUAAGCGAACAAGCGUACACGGUGGAUGCCCUGGCAGUCAGAGGCGAUGAAGGACGUGCUAAUCUGCGAAAAGACGCCGGUAAGGUGAUAUGAACCGUUAUAACCGGCGAUGUCCGAAUGGGGAACCGGUGCACUUCGGUGCAUCAUCGUUAGCUGAAUACAUAGGCUAACGAGGCGAACCGGGGGAACUGAAACAUCUAAGUACCCCGAGGAAAAGAAAUCAACCGAGAUUCCCCCAGUAGCGGCGAGCGAACGGGGAACAGCCCAGAGCCUGAAUCAGCUUGUGUGUCAGUGGAACGGUCUGGAAAGGCCGGCGAUACAGGGUGACAGCCCCGUACACGAAGGCACACAGGCUGUGAGCUCGAUGAGUAGGGCGGGACACGUGAUAUCCUGUCUGAAGAUGGGGGGACCAUCCUCCAAGGCUAAAUACUCCUGACUGACCGAUAGUGAACCAGUACCGUGAGGGAAAGGCGAAAAGAACCCCGGCGAGGGGAGUGAAACAGAACCUGAAACCGUGUACGUACAAGCAGUGGGAGCCUUCGUAAGAGGGUGACUGCGUACCUUUUGUAUAAUGGGUCAGCGACUUAUAUUCUGUAGCAAGGUUAACCGUAUAGGGGAGCCGAAGGGAAACCGAGUCUUAAUUGGGCGUUAAGUUGCAGGGUAUAGACCCGAAACCCGGUGAUCUAGCCAUGGGCAGGUUGAAGGUUGGGUAACACUAACUGGAGGACCGAACCGACUAAUGUUGAAAAAUUAGCGGAUGACCUGUGGCUGGGGGUGAAAGGCCAAUCAAACCGGGAGAUAGCUGGUUCUCCCCGAAAGCUAUUUAGGUAGCGCCUCGUGAACUCAUCUCCGGGGGUAGAGCACUGUUUCGGCUAGGGGGCCAUCCCGGCUUACCAACCCGAUGCAAACUGCGAAUACCGGAGAAUGUUAUCACGGGAGACACACGGCGGGUGCUAACGUCCGUCGUGAAGAGGGAAACAACCCAGACCGCCAGCUAAGGUCCCAAAGUCAUGGUUAAGUGGGAAACGAUGUGGGAAGGCCCAGACAGCCAGGAUGUUGGCUUAGAAGCAGCCAUCAUUUAAAGAAAGCGUAAUAGCUCACUGGUCGAGUCGGCCUGCGCGGAAGAUGUAACGGGGCUAAACCAUGCACCGAAGCUGCGGCAGCGACACUAUGUGUUGUUGGGUAGGGGAGCGUUCUGUAAGCCUGUGAAGGUGUGCUGUGAGGCAUGCUGGAGGUAUCAGAAGUGCGAAUGCUGACAUAAGUAACGAUAAAGCGGGUGAAAAGCCCGCUCGCCGGAAGACCAAGGGUUCCUGUCCAACGUUAAUCGGGGCAGGGUGAGUCGACCCCUAAGGCGAGGCCGAAAGGCGUAGUCGAUGGGAAACAGGUUAAUAUUCCUGUACUUGGUGUUACUGCGAAGGGGGGACGGAGAAGGCUAUGUCGGCCGGGCGACGGUUGUCCCGGUUUAAGCGUGUAGGCUGACUUUCCAGGCAAAUCCGGAAGGUUAAGGCUGAGGCGUGAUGACGAGGCACCACGGUGCUGAAGUGACAAAUGCCCUGCUUCCAGGAAAAGCCUAUAAGCAUCAGGUAACAUCAAAUCGUACCCAAAACGACACAGGUGGUCAGGUAGAGAAUACCAAGGCGCUUGAGAGAACUCGGGUGAAGGAACUAGGCAAAAUGGUGCCGUAACUUCGGGAGAAGGCACGCUGACAUGUAGGUGAAGCCCCUGCGGGUGGAGCUGAAGUCAGUCGAAGAUACCAGCUGGCUGCAACUGUUUAUUAAAAACACAGCACUGUGCAAACACGAAAGUGGACGUAUACGGUGUGACGCCUGCCCGGUGCCGGAAGGUUAAUUGAUGGGGUUAUCGCAAGAGAAGCUCCUGAUCGAAGCCCCGGUAAACGGCGGCCGUAACUAUAACGGUCCUAAGGUAGCGAAAUUCCUUGUCGGGUAAGUUCCGACCUGCACGAAUGGCGUAAUGAUGGCCAGGCUGUCUCCACCCGAGACUCAGUGAAAUUGAACUCGCUGUGAAGAUGCAGUGUACCCGCGGCAAGACGGAAAGACCCCGUGAACCUUUACUACAGCUUGACACUGAACAUUGAGCCUUGAUGUGUAGGAUAGGUGGGAGGCUUUGAAGCGUGGACGCCAGUCUGCGUGGAGCCGACCUUGAAAUACCACCCUUUAAUGUUUGAUGUUCUAACCUGGCGCCGUGAUCCGGCGUGGGGACAGUGUCUGGUGGGUAGUUUGACUGGGGCGGUCUCCUCCCAAAGUGUAACGGAGGAGCACGAAGGUCAGCUAAUCCUGGUCGGACAUCAGGAGGUUAGUGCAAUGGCAUAAGCUGGCUUGACUGCGAGAGUGACGGCUCGAGCAGGUGCGAAAGCAGGUCAUAGUGAUCCGGUGGUUCUGUAUGGAAGGGCCAUCGCUCAACGGAUAAAAGGUACUCCGGGGAUAACAGGCUGAUACCGCCCAAGAGUUCAUAUCGACGGCGGUGUUUGGCACCUCGAUGUCGGCUCAUCACAUCCUGGGGCUGAAGUAGGUCCCAAGGGUAUGGCUGUUCGCCAUUUAAAGUGGUACGCGAGCUGGGUUUAGAACGUCGUGAGACAGUUCGGUCCCUAUCUGCCGUGGGCGCUGGAGAAUUGAGGGGGGCUGCUCCCAGUACGAGAGGACCGGAGUGGACGCAUCACUGGUGUUCGGGUUGUCAUGCCAAUGGCACUGCCCGGUAGCUAAAUGCGGAAGAGAUAAGUGCUGAAAGCAUCUAAGCACGAAACUUGCCCCGAGAUGAGUUCUCCCUGAGACUAUAAGUCUCCUGAAGGAACGUUGAAGACGACGACGUUGAUAGGCCGGGUGUGUAAGCGCAGCGAUGCGUUGAGCUAACCGGUACUAAUGAACCGUGAGGCUUAACCUUACAACGCCAAAGAAGU